This 494-nucleotide ribosomal RNA is filed under the name uncultured bacterium. RNAcentral describes it as "partial 16S ribosomal RNA". It matches the Rfam family "Bacterial small subunit ribosomal RNA", at positions 28 to 507 of the family's 1533-position model. The record is from RNAcentral.
GACGAACGCUGGCGGCGUGCUUAACACAUGCAAGUCGAACGGAAAGGCCUACUUUCCCUUGUGGAUUGCGGGUACUCGAGUGGCGAACGGGUGAGUAACACGUGAGUGAUCUGCCCCCAACUUGGGUAUAAGCCUGGGAAACUGGGUCUAAUUCCCGAUAGGACUGCAGGGUGGUGCCUGUGAUGGAAAACGAUUUUCUAGUGGUUGGGGAUGAGCUCGCGGCCUAUCAGCUUGUUGGUGGGGUAAUGGCCUACCAAGGCGGCGACGGGUAGCCGGCCUGAGAGGGUGGACGGCCACAUUGGGACUGAGAUACGGCCCAGACUCCUACGGGAGGCAGCAGUGGGGAAUAUUGCACAAUGGGCGGAAGCCUGAUGCAGCGACGCCGCGUGGGGGAUGACGGCCUUCGGGUUGUAAACCCCUUUCGACCGCGAGGAAGCCACCUGGUUGGAAGGGUGGUGACGGUAGUGGUAGAAGAAGCACCGGCUAACUACGUG